Molecule: long non-coding RNA, 1133 nt
Filed under: Rattus norvegicus (Norway rat)
Lineage: Eukaryota; Metazoa; Chordata; Mammalia; Rodentia; Muridae
Description: long non-coding RNA NONRATT023668
Source: RNAcentral
GGAAAAAGGAGUAGCAAUGGAUUGGCCCACCAGUACUCCUGCCCCAAAGUCAACUCGUUAGGCAAAUCAAAUGGAGGUGCAUGGCAGGUGGUACCCCAAAGCUACCGUGCAUGCUCUUACUGUUGACCUGUUCUGUCCUCUGCUCAGUGUCUCACACAGACUGGGACACCCUGAACAAAUGUGAUGGACUGUUUCCCAGUCUUCUAUAGCCGUUAUUGUGGCAUGGGCUCUGUAGUUUAAGAAGAAAUUCAACUUCCCAACCUUUGAAAAAGCCUUAAAAUCAAAGUUUUAAUCCAAAAAUCCAUAACCACUCCUUUUCUUAGAGUGUCUAAUCAGUACAUGCAAAGGCCUUUUCUUGAAGGGGCUUUGACACCUGUGGCCUUUUUGUUAGUGUUUAUGACCGGAAUGGAACAGGCAGUUUUAUUCUGCCUGGUGUGUAGAAGAGUCAUGCAGAGGUUAAAUGCUGUCUUUUAAUGCACAGAGAGUUGAUGUAGUUUAGGAAAAUGGUGCUGGUGUCCCUUGGCCUCUAGCCAGGGUGGAAAAUUUCAGACUACCUACCUUUAAAAGUCCUAGAGUACAGAUUAACUCGAGAUCUGUUAUGUAAACACACUUUUCUCUAAAUUGAAAUAUUGUUAUUUCCUUGUGGCAUAAGUAAUUAUUGCUAGAAGCAAUAUUUAACUGUUAUAAUAAGCUUAAAUGAUACUUUGUUUCCUUGUACUUCAAACCUGUUCUCCCACUUGUGUUAUAAUCUAUUGUUUCUAAUCAGCUGCCUUGAAUCUAAGCUUUCACUGUGACGUGUGUCCAGUUUGCAUGUGGAUUAUGAGGCUUUCCUGAUGUAGAGGUGAGCACGCCCUCCUCAGAGCACCAUUCGGAUGCUAAACCGGUGGUUUCUCACCUUAACUAUAUUAACCUUGCAUGAUGUCGCUUGCUUCCCGACGCACCUGAAAGCAUCCAUCUGGAUCACUUGUUUACGUCUCAAACACUCGUCUAGACUCUGAGUUCGUAGAGUCAUCGCGUUGAGACUCUAUCUUUUAUAUUAUUUCUUAGUGCUUUUUGCUCACUGAAAUUUCUAAAGAUGGUUUUUGCCUUUGAAGAGGGGGACGGGGAGAGAGAGUAAAAAAAAAAAAAAAAAA